AUGCCAUCCUCCUCCGGGACCUCGGAAUCCUGGUCGCCGGACGACCUCCUCGACGAACCCACCCGCGACCGAGCUGCCCGCACCAGCGCCGCCGACGCCGACGGAGGCGACGACGACCACGACGACGUCUCGGCCGACCGGGCCACCUCGCGGCUGCGUAAACCAGGAGCCCUGAAGGCCCUCUGCAAGAGGUACUCCAUCCCCGACGGCUUCGCCCCGGUCCUCGCCGGCGACCGCUCCUCGUGUUCGACGCCGCCGCCCGGGUCCGUCUGCGUGUACCUCGACUCGCUGGACGCCGGGAUGCGCCUGCCCCUCCACCCCUUCUUCGCCGAGGUGCUCAACCAUUUCGGGCUCGCCCCCGGCCAGCUAUCGCCCAACGGCUGGCGCGCCAUGGCGGGCUUCGUCGCGCUCUCCCGCUCCGCCGGCGUGGAGCCGUCGCUCGCCGUGUUCCGGCACUUCUUCGCGCUCUGCCCGUUCCCGCCGCACGGCUUCUACACCCUCCGCGGCAAGGACGCCAACGGGCUCCUCUUCGCCCGGAUUCGCGCCAAGUUUGUCAAGGGGUGGAAAGAGGAUUUCUUCUUCUUGGAGUCGUCGGCACCGUGGCCGUGCCCGGUGGAGUGGGGGGAGCCUUCCAGGUCCUCCACCUUCGAUCCGUCGCUCACCGUGCAGGAGAAGGCCGUGGCGGAGAGCCUGCUGCGUGCUCGAGGGAGUUCCCCGAUCGAUCUCUUCGCGUAUCUCCACCACCGCAACAUGGCCGCUGCCAACAUCACCGGGGUGUCAUCUCCGCCGCCGCCAACUCGUCAAGCCGCGCCUGUGCAUGUCGCCAUGGAGGAAGCCUUGGCCGCGGGCGCCUCGGCAGGGAAGGUGAAGGUGAAGGUGAAGAGCGAGCCUGGCUGCGAGGUGCCGCCUUGUGCGCCGUCGCCUGGGAAGAAGAGGAAGCUGCCGGAGGACCGCCCGGACGGCGGGAGCUCGGCGUCGUACCCCUCUUGCCCGCCGGGCUUCUCCGCCCCCAGCAAGUCACCGCCCACGACAAGCAAAGAUGGUGACUGGAAGGCGGCGAGGCGGCUGCUGCAGGGCACCGUGACGCCGUCGCGGGAGCGCGAGCUCGCCGCGUCCAAGCCCGCCGACGUCGUCGCCUCAACCUACGUGUCACUGCUCCAGACGGCGAACGAGGUGGCCUUCUCGCUGGGCUACGCUCUGGAGCUGGAGGACAAGCUGAGGGCGCGCGAGCGCAAGGCGGACGCGCUCCGGGGCGAGCUGGACAGAAAGCUGAAGGCGCGGGAGACCGAGGCGGACGCGCUGCGGGCGGAGCUGCGCAAGGCGAAGGCCGAGCUCGACGAGACGACCAAGGCGGCGGGGGCGCGGGAGGAGCUGUGCAGGAAAACGAAGGCGCGGGAGCGCGACACCGCGGAGGCGGACGCACUGCGGGCGGAGCUGCGCAAGGCGAAGGCCGUGCUCGCCGAGACCACGGCGGACGCGGGGAUCGCGGCGGCGACGGCGCGUGGGCUCCGGGACGAGCUGGACAGGAACGUGAAGGCGCGGGAGCGGGACGCCGCCGAGUCGGACGCGCUGCGGGCGGUGCUGCACGAGGCGAAGGCCGAGCUCGCCGCGACCAAGGCGGAGGCCGAGAGGGCGGCGGCCGCGCGGUGGUUCUGGGGGUCGAGCAGGGAGCACGCGCGCGCGCUGGCGGAGCGGGAGCUGCGGGGGUACGAGCGCGGCCUGGAGGACAUGAGGCGCGCCGCGCUUCAUCGCUACCCGUACCUGGACCCGUCGCUGCUCUUCGUGCCGGUCCGCGGCCCCCCGUAG
RNAcentral lists this ribosomal RNA (1806 nucleotides) under Triticum aestivum (bread wheat). Its description in RNAcentral is "partial small subunit ribosomal RNA". The record is from RNAcentral. Lineage: Eukaryota; Viridiplantae; Streptophyta; Magnoliopsida; Poales; Poaceae.